RNAcentral lists this non-coding RNA (35 nucleotides) under unclassified sequences. Its description in RNAcentral is "DUF805b RNA". It matches the Rfam family "DUF805b RNA". From Rfam's summary of the family: Bacteroidetes, Chlorobi (1 example), Proteobacteria. Lineage (Flavobacteria) The record is from RNAcentral.
AAGGCGGCAUCCGAAAAGUCUGAAAAGAGUAGGAA